UACGGGGGGAGCAAGCGUUGUUCGGAUUUACUGGGCGUAAAGGGCGCGUAGGCGGUCGUGACAAGUCACUUGUGAAAUCUCCGGGCUUAACUCGGAACGGUCAAGUGAUACUGUCGGACUAGAGUACAGAAGGGGCAACUGGAAUUCUCGGUGUAGCGGUGAAAUGCGUAGAUAUCGAGAGGAACACCUGCGGCGAAGGCGGGUUGCUGGGCCGACACUGACGCUGAUGCGCGAAAGCCAGGGGAGCGAACAGG
RNAcentral lists this ribosomal RNA (254 nucleotides) under uncultured bacterium. Its description in RNAcentral is "partial 16S ribosomal RNA". It matches the Rfam family "Bacterial small subunit ribosomal RNA", at positions 524 to 776 of the family's 1533-position model. The record is from RNAcentral.